UACGGAGGGUGCAACCGUUGCUCGGAAUCAUUGGGCGUAAAGCGCACGUAGGCGGUCCGCUAAGUCGGGUGUGAAAUCCCUCGGCUCAACCGAGGAAGUGCAUUCGAAACUGACGGACUUGAGUAUGGAAGAGGGUCGUGGAAUUCCCGGUGUAGAGGUGAGAUUCGUAGAUAUCGGGAGGAACACCAGUGGCGAAGGCGGCGACCUGGGCCAAUACUGACGCUGAGGUGCGAAAGCGUGGGGAGCAAACAGG
This 253-nucleotide ribosomal RNA is filed under the name uncultured bacterium. RNAcentral describes it as "partial 16S ribosomal RNA". It matches the Rfam family "Bacterial small subunit ribosomal RNA", at positions 524 to 776 of the family's 1533-position model. The record is from RNAcentral.